This 403-nucleotide ribosomal RNA is filed under the name uncultured prokaryote. Its description in RNAcentral is "bacterial SSU rRNA". It matches the Rfam family "Bacterial small subunit ribosomal RNA", at positions 355 to 774 of the family's 1533-position model. The record is from RNAcentral.
UGGGGAAUAUUGCGCAAUGGGGGCAACCCUGACGCAGCAAUACCGCGUGAGUGAAGAAGGUUUUCGGAUCGUAAAGCUCUGUUAUUGGGGAAGAAAAAAGACGGUACCCAAGAAGAAAGUCCCGGCUAACUACGUGCCAGCAGCCGCGGUAAUACGUAGGGGACAAGCGUUGUCCGGAUUUACUGGGCGUAAAGGGCACGCAGGCGGUUUUUUAAGUCAGAUGGGAAAGGUACGGGCUCAACCGGGGACAUGCAGUUGAAACUGAAAGGCUGGAGUAGUGUAGAGGCGAGUGGAAUUCCGAGUGUAGCGGUGAAAUGCGUAGAUAUUAGGAGGAACACCGGUGGCGAAGGCGGCUUGCUGGACAAAUACUGACGCUGAGGUGCGAAAGCGUGGGGAGCAAACA